GAUGAACGCUAGCUACAGGCUUAACACAUGCAAGUCGAGGGGAAACGACAUCGAAAGCUUGCUUUUGGUGGGCGUCGACCGGCGCACGGGUGAGUAACGCGUAUCCAACCUGCCCACCACUUGGGAAUAACCUUGCGAAAGUAAGACUAAUACCCGAUGAUAUCCCACGAAGGCAUCCGAAUGGGAUUAAAGAUUUAUCGGUGAUGGAUGGGGAUGCGUCUGAUUAGCUUGUUGGCGGGGUAACGGCCCACCAAGGCAACGAUCAGUAGGGGUUCUGAGAGGAAGGUCCCCCACAUUGGAACUGAGACACGGUCCAAACUCCUACGGGAGGCAGCAGUGAGGAAUAUUGGUCAAAUGGGCGAGAGCCUGAACCAGCCAAGUAGCGUGCAGGAUGACGGCCCUAUGGGUUGUAAACUGCUUUUAUAAGGGAAUAAAGUGGGUCUCGUGAGACUUUUUGCAUGUACCUUAUGAAUAAGGACCGGCUAAAUUCCGUG
Molecule: ribosomal RNA, 494 nt
Filed under: uncultured bacterium
Lineage: Bacteria
Description: bacterial SSU rRNA
Rfam family: Bacterial small subunit ribosomal RNA
Source: RNAcentral